UCAGCCCAAGUAUUUUGGGCAUAUCUGAUGCACCAUGUAAUUAAGAUCAUUGGAUUAUGUUAAAAAAAAUCCAACGGUUGAGAUGAUAUUAAUUUAAAACUUUUUAAAAAUUAAAUCAAAGGAUAUAAUAUGUUUCAAAAUUCUAAAAAGACCCCUCCUCUUCCUUAGAGUAAAACGAAACCCUCCUUGCCUGUGUCUGCUAAUCUGGGUAAGGCAGACUAAAACGAAACUCUACUCUAUCUCUGUGUGAUAAUCUGGGAAACGCUUCCUUGAACGAAUGCCGACGACAUCAUCCCGAAUGCCGGCGUUACCAAUUUUAGUGCCAAGAAGGCCAUGACACCGAUGUUGUCGAGGACAACGGUGAAGGGGAAGAGCAAGAUUACAUGGUUUAGAUGACAACUGACAAGAAGACACGGAUGGGGAUAUAACCAUGUGUUACCGUGGUCAUUAACGGCCCGUUGGUGGUUUCGAGCUCCUUCUCGAAUCUUCUGGAGCCUGAAUUCCAACCACCAAUAUCAGAAGUGGUUAAAGCCUUAAUACUUUUGGAUCUGAUCAAGGAGGAUCCAAUCGAGGGAGUGAUGUACCCGCCAUACAUGAUGAUAUGUGAAUGGGAAUAUAAUCCUUGUGUCAUUCUUAAAAAGAAAUGUAGUUAUCAUUAUCUUCUGAUGUACUAAGAAAAUGGAUGAAAGAAUGUCUCAAUUGUUAUUUUAUUGAAUAAUUUCAUUUUAUUUGAGCUAAAGAGUUCAGUUUUGUUGUUAGUGAACUUAGAUGAUUCUUUUUGUUCCAUUUUUUAUUUUUUAUUAUAUUGAAUUGGUUGUUUAUGAUGUUAUGUGUAUAGCUGAAUUCAAUAAAUUUGGAUAACUUUUUUCUGUUGGCCAAGAAACUUGCUCUUUUUCCUUGUCAAAAUCAUAUUGGAUUUCUUGCAACUUUGAGGUUGAUAUAUGAAGAAUUAUUACUUUCAUGCAUAUAUAUUAAUGACAUCUUCCAAAUUUUUGAGCUAUAUUCUUCAGGUUUUCAUGUGGUUAGUAGCUUUGGUUUAAACAAAUCUUUGAUAGACAUAAAACUUUCUUGUCAUGAAAUUGUACGUAAAAAGCUUUUGAUUAUUGCAUAACUGAUUUGAAUGGCAAUUUAGCAUAGCAUAAAGCUUCGGUGGCUGAAUUGGAGGUAAAAUAUUAACCAAAGUUUUCUUGAUAUGGUGUAAGAUGUAAAAUCAAAACACAAAAAAAUCAUACAAAACUGUAUAUUGUAAGUAUAAAAAGAAUGGUCAAGUUUCUUCAUCAAUUUUUCAUCAUUUAGGCUCCACGAAGGAUUCAAUAUAAAGCAAUGUUGAAGACUUGCAAUAUGAUUAACUAAAAGUCUAAAAUAGAUUAUUCAUUCAACGUAACAACUUAAUGUAUAAAAAACUACUUAAAAGCAAUUCAGAAAAGAAAAUAUCAAUGAUACAUCAUACUUCAUCCAAACUAUACCAGCAUCAAAUCUUAUAAAAGAAGACAGCAUGGUCAAACAAUGACUAUAUGCCAAACUGUUUCAUAUGCAAUGCCUUACUCUAAACUAAAUAACACCACUAAAGCAUGAAUUCAAUUGCAGGCCUAUUAACAGGAUCGUGAGCCAAAUGCAGCAAUCUCUUGUGCAUAA
This is a non-coding RNA of Arachis ipaensis, 1635 nucleotides long. The record is from RefSeq and is a predicted model, not a curated record. NCBI's taxonomy places the organism in Eukaryota, Viridiplantae, Streptophyta, Magnoliopsida, Fabales, Fabaceae.